GGUUCUCUGGGAGUUUCACUUCAUGUAUACACACACUGAGACACAUUGUUUGUUUAUAGCCCUGAGCCUUUCUAGCCAUCCCGUUAAUAUUAUCCUUUGUUAACCCCAUUUGAUCAUGUACCCUUUGUUUGUCUAACCACAUAAAUGUAACCCGCGGCCCAAAACACUUCCUUACCCUAAUCAGAGUCAAUAUGAUGUCAUUAAGUUAUGUUAAAUUCUAAGUUUGGGGUAAACCCCAUAAGCAUCAAAAAUCAAGGUGCGUACAAAAAAAAGAAGAAAAAAC
This 283-nucleotide long non-coding RNA is filed under the name Lathyrus oleraceus (garden pea). Its description in RNAcentral is "Pisum sativum (pea) long non-coding RNA (PSAT_LNC008957)". The record is from RNAcentral. Lineage: Eukaryota; Viridiplantae; Streptophyta; Magnoliopsida; Fabales; Fabaceae.